RNAcentral lists this RNase P RNA (342 nucleotides) under Thermoprotei archaeon. Its description in RNAcentral is "RNase P RNA component". It matches the Rfam family "Archaeal RNase P". Rfam says of the family: Ribonuclease P (RNase P) is a ubiquitous endoribonuclease, found in archaea, bacteria and eukarya as well as chloroplasts and mitochondria. Its best characterised activity is the generation of mature 5'-ends of tRNAs by cleaving the 5'-leader elements of precursor-tRNAs. RNAcentral also lists the same sequence under 1 other name. The record is from RNAcentral. Lineage: Archaea; Thermoproteati; Thermoproteota; Thermoprotei.
GUCAGCCGGUGGGCGGGCGCCGGGCCCCUCUCGGCGACGGGGGGGCCUGAGGAAGCUCCGCCACUCCGCGGGCCCGCGCCGCCGCAAGGCGGUGGGGGGAAUCCCCAGGCAACGGCUCAGAAACGAGACCCCUCCCCCGUCGAUGGGGAUGAGGCGGUGGGGGCUUACCCCCCGUCGGCCUCCGGCAACGGAGGCCUUCCGCUGAGGAGGCGGGGGAGGAGGUUGAAACGGCCGCCCCGCGGGCUAGGGCCAAGCGGGGCCUGUGAGCUCCCGCGGCGAGGCCCGGGUGGGCCCCCAGACGAAUCCCGCCUAGAAACAGAAGGCGGGCUACCACCGGCUGAC